AACUAGGCAUAGCCCACAAAUCAAAUCCAAUAAAACUAUCUUAACUACAAUAAAUUAAAACAUUCAUAAUAAUAAAAGUAUGGGUGAUAGAAAUUAUAUUAAGGCGCUAUAGAGAAAGUACCACAAGGGAAAAGUGAAAGAAGACUAUAAGUGAAAAAUAGCAAAGCUUAACUCUUGUACCUUUUGCAUAAUGACUCAGCUAGAAAAUAUUAGCAAAAAGAAUUACAGUUAAGUAACCCGAAACCAGACGAGCUACCUACUAGCAGCUCAACAGAGCGAACUCAUCUAUGUUGCAAAAUAGUGAGAUGACUAUUAGGUAGAGGCAAUAAACCUACCGAGCCUGGUGAUAGCUGGUUAUCCAGAACAGAAUUUUAGUUCUAACUUAAGUUUACCAAAAACAGACAAAUUAAAAUGUAGACUUAAGCAAUAGUCUAAAAGGGUACAGCCUUUCAGACGCGGGAUACAACCCCCAUUAGAGAGUAAAAAAAAAUAAAUCACAAUAGUUGGCCUAAAAGCAGCCAUCAAACAAGAUAGCGUUCAAGCUCAACAGUACAUAACACUAAUCCUACUUAUAAUAAUUGAUGCUCCUAGUGCAAAACUGGAUUAUUCUAUUACCAAAUAGAAGCAAUAAUGCUGAUAUGAGUAACAAGAAGCAUUUCUCCCUGCACAUGUGUAUAUCAGAACGAAUAAUUCACUGAUAAUUAUCGAGAUAAAUAUACCUAUCAACUUAAACCUUUAUCAAAAAUCGUUAGCCCAACACAGGAGUGCGCCCAAGGAAAGAUUAAAAAAAGUAAAAGGAACUCGGCAAACAUAAACCCCGCCUGUUUACCAAAAACAUCACCUCUAGCAUAAAAAGUAUUAGAGGCACUGCCUGCCCAGUGACUACAGUUAAACGGCCGCGGUAUCCUGACCGUGCAAAGGUAGCAUAAUCAUUUGUUCUCUAAAUAGGGACUUGUAUGAACGGCCCCACGAGGGUUUAACUGUCUCUUACUUUUGAUCAGUGAAAUUGACACUCCCGUGAAGAGGCGGGAAUUAAAAAAUAAGACGAGAAGACCCUAUGGAGCUUUAAUUAAUUAACUUACAAGUUAUAGCAUUAAUCUAUAAGAGACAAAUUAAACUUAAUUAAGUUAACAAUUUGGGUUGGGGCGACCUCGGAAUAAAAAUUAACUUCCGAGAUAGAUAUACUAAGGCCUACAAGCCAAAGUUGUCUUAUCACAUAUUGAUCCGCCAACAGCGAUCAACGAAACAAGUUACCCUAGGGAUAACAGCGCAAUCCUAUUUAAGAGUCCAUAUCGACAAUUAGGGUUUACGACCUCGAUGUUGGAUCAGGACAUCCCAAUGGUGCAGCAGCUAUUAAUGUGUUCGUUUGUUCAACGAUUAAAGUCCUACGUGAUCUGAGUUCAGACCGGAGCAAUCCAGGUCGGUUUCUAUCUAUUCAUAAGUCCCUCCCAGUACGAAAGGACAAGAGAGACAGGGCCUACUUAAAAUAAGCGCCCUAACAACAAUGGAUGAACUAAUAUUAAUCCUAUAUACCUAUAAACUGCCCGAGAAAAGGGCCUA
RNAcentral lists this ribosomal RNA (1560 nucleotides) under Plecotus auritus (brown big-eared bat). RNAcentral's name for it is "16S ribosomal RNA". It matches the Rfam family "Bacterial large subunit ribosomal RNA". Lineage: Eukaryota; Metazoa; Chordata; Mammalia; Chiroptera; Vespertilionidae. The record is from RNAcentral.